This 528-nucleotide ribosomal RNA is filed under the name Planiliza cf. macrolepis ED-2022. RNAcentral describes it as "partial large subunit ribosomal RNA". It matches the Rfam family "Bacterial large subunit ribosomal RNA", at positions 1844 to 2569 of the family's 2925-position model. The record is from RNAcentral. Lineage: Eukaryota; Metazoa; Chordata; Actinopteri; Mugiliformes; Mugilidae.
UAUGAGAGGUCCUGCCUGCCCUGUGACCCCUGGUUCAACGGCCGCGGUAUUUUGACCGUGCAAAGGUAGCGCAAUCACUUGUCUCUUAAAUGAGGACCUGUAUGAAUGGCACAACGAGGGCUUAACUGUCUCCUUUCCCCGGUCAAUGAAAUUGAUCUUCCCGUGCAGAAGCGGGAAUCCUAACAUAAGACGAGAAGACCCUAUGGAGCUUUAGACAUCAGAACAGACCAUGUAAGCUACCUCCAUGAAAUAGGUAAUAACUAUUGAAUCUCUGUUCCCCUGUCUUCGGUUGGGGCGACUACGGGGAAUAAAAAAACCCCCACGUGGACCAGGAGCACAUUACUCCUACAACCAUGAGCCACAGCUCUAAUGCACAAAACAUUUGACCAUUAGAUCCGGCAAAGCCGAUCAACGGACCAAGUUACCCUAGGGAUAACAGCGCAAUCCCCUUUAAGAGUUCAUAUCGACAAGGGGGUUUACGACCUCGAUGUUGGAUCAAGACAUCCUAAUGGUGCAGCCGCUAUUAAG